Molecule: ribosomal RNA, 195 nt
Filed under: uncultured eukaryote
Lineage: Eukaryota
Description: partial 18S ribosomal RNA
Rfam family: Eukaryotic small subunit ribosomal RNA
Source: RNAcentral
CCAAACCUGGUUGAUCCUGCCAGUAGUCAUAUGCUUGUCUCAAAGAUUAAGCCAUGCAUGUCUAAGUAUAAGCCUUUACACGGUGAGACUGCGAAUGGCUCAUUAAAUCAGAAACUGUUUACUUGAUAGUGCCUACUACAAGGAUAACUGUAGUAAUUCUAGAGCUAAUACUUGCAAAAAGCCUGAACUUCUGGA